UGUCGGAGUACUGGGCGUAAGAGCUCGUAGGUGGUUUGUCGCGUUGUUCGUGAAAUCUCACGGCUUAACUGUGAGCGUGCGGGCGAUACGGGCAGACUUGAGUACUGCAGGGGAGACUGGAAUUCCUGGUGUAGCGGUGGAAUGCGCAGAUAUCAGGAGGAACACCGGUGGCGAAGGCGGGUCUCUGGGCAGUAACUGACGCUGAGGAGCGAAAGCGUGGGGAGCGAACAGGAUUAGAUACCCUGGUAGUCCACGCCGUAAACGGUGGGUACUAGGUGUGGGUUUCCUUCCUUGGGAUCCGUGCCGUAGCUAACGCAUUAAGUACCCCGCCUGGGGAGUACGGCCGCAAGGCUAAAACUCAAAGAAAUUGACGGGGGCCCGCACAAGCGGCGGAGCAUGUGGAUUAAUUCGAUGCAACGCGAAGAACCUUACCUGGGUUUGACAUGCACAGGACGCCGGCAGAGAUGUCGGUUCCCUUGUGGCCUGUGUGCAGGUGGUGCAUGGCUGUCGUCAGCUCGUGUCGUGAGAUGUUGGGUUAAGUCCCGCAACGAGCGCAACCCUUGUCUCAUGUUGCCAGCGGGUAAUGCCGGGGACUCGUGAGAGACUGCCGGGGUCAACUCGGAGGAAGGUGGGGAUGACGUCAAGUCAUCAUGCCCCUUAUGUCCAGGGCUUCACACAUGCUACAAUGGCCGGUACAAAGGGCUGCGAUGCCGCGAGGUUAAGCGAAUCCUUUUAAAGCCGGUCUCAGUUCGGAUCGGGGUCUGCAACUCGACCCCGUGAAGUCGGAGUCGCUAGUAAUCGCAGAUCAGCAACGCUGCGGUGAAUACGUUCCCGGGCCUUGUACACACCGCCCGUCACGUCAUGAAAGUCGGUAACACCCGAAGCCAGUGGCCUAACCCUUUGGGAGGGAGCUGUCGAAGGUGGGAUCGGCGAUUGGGACGAAGUCGUAACAAGGUACCCGU
Molecule: ribosomal RNA, 962 nt
Filed under: uncultured bacterium
Lineage: Bacteria
Description: bacterial SSU rRNA
Rfam family: Bacterial small subunit ribosomal RNA
Source: RNAcentral